Molecule: non-coding RNA, 146 nt
Organism: Pocillopora verrucosa
Lineage: Eukaryota; Metazoa; Cnidaria; Anthozoa; Scleractinia; Pocilloporidae
Source: RefSeq, a predicted model, not a curated record
AUGUGCUCGAUCGAAGUGGAGAAUCGUUUCAACGCCCGUUUAACGUCAUCGUUUAUAUUAUAAGGACACAAACUUUUCGAAACCGUACAACGUUCGUUCAAGAUUGUAAAGUCCAUUUCAUAAUUACAAGUACGCGUGUUCAAGUU